GGGGGGACGGAGAAGGCUAGGUGGGCCAGGCGACGGUUGUCCUGGUUCAAGUGCGUAGGCUUGAGAGUUAGGUAAAUCCGGCUCUCUCUAAGGCUGAGACACGACGUCGAGCUACUACGGUAGUGAAGUCAUUGAUGCCAUGCUUCCAGGAAAAGCCUCUAAGCUUCAGAUAGUCAGGAAUCGUACCCCAAACCGACACAGGUGGUCGGGUAGAGAAUACCAAGGCGCUUGAGAGAACUCGGGUGAAGGAACUAGGCAAAAUGGUACCGUAACUUCGGGAGAAGGUACGCUCUUGAUGGUGAAGUCCCUCGCGGAUGGAGCUGACGAGAGUCGCAGAUACCAGGUGGCUGCAACUGUUUAUUAAAAACACAGCACUGUGCAAAAUCGCAAGAUGACGUAUACGGUGUGACGCCUGCCCGGUGCCGGAAGGUUAAUUGAUGGGGUUAGCGCAAGCGAAGCUCUUGAUCGAAGCCCCGGUAAACGGCGGCCGUAACUAUAACGGUCCUAAGGUAGCGAAAUUCCUUGUCGGGUAAGUUCCGACCUGCACGAAUGGCGUAAUGAUGGCCACGCUGUCUCCACCCGAGACUCAGUGAAAUUGAAAUCGCUGUGAAGAUGCAGUGUACCCGCGGCUAGACGGAAAGACCCCGUGAACCUUUACUACAGCUUGGCACUGAACAUUGAACCUACAUGUGUAGGAUAGGUGGGAGGCUAUGAAGACGUGACGCCAGUUGCGUUGGAGCCGUCCUUGAAAUACCACCCUUGUAUGUUUGAUGUUCUAACUUAGACCCAUUAUCUGGGUUGAGGACAGUGCCUGGUGGGUAGUUUGACUGGGGCGGUCUCCUCCCAAAGAGUAACGGAGGAGCACGAAGGUGGGCUAAUCACGGUUGGACAUCGUGAGGUUAGUGCAAUGGCAUAAGCCCGCUUAACUGCGAGAAUGACGGUUCGAGCAGGUGCGAAAGCAGGUCAUAGUGAUCCGGUGGUUCUGUAUGGAAGGGCCAUCGCUCAACGGAUAAAAGGUACUCCGGGGAUAACAGGCUGAUACCGCCCAAGAGUUCAUAUCGACGGCGGUGUUUGGCACCUCGAUGUCGGCUCAUCACAUCCUGGGGCUGAAGUCGGUCCCAAGGGUAUGGCUGUUCGCCAUUUAAAGUGGUACGCGAGCUGGGUUUAGAACGUCGUGAGACAGUUCGGUCCCUAUCUGCCGUGGGCGUUGGAAGAUUGAAGGGGGCUGCUCCUAGUACGAGAGGACCGGAGUGGACGAACCUCUGGUGUUCGGGUUGUGUCGCCAGACGCAUUGCCCGGUAGCUAAGUUCGGAAUUGAUAAGCGCUGAAAGCAUCUAAGCGCGAAGCGAGCCCUGAGAUGAGUCUUCCCUGACAGUUUAACUGUCCUAAAGGGUUGUUCGAGACUAGAACGUUGAUAGGCAGGGUGUGUAAGCGUUGUGAGGCGUUGAGCUAACCUGUACUAAUUGCCCGUGAGGCUUAACCAU
Molecule: ribosomal RNA, 1484 nt
Filed under: Vibrio cholerae
Lineage: Bacteria; Pseudomonadati; Pseudomonadota; Gammaproteobacteria; Vibrionales; Vibrionaceae
Description: bacterial LSU rRNA
Rfam family: Bacterial large subunit ribosomal RNA
Source: RNAcentral